AAUGAACGCUGGCGGCAUGCCUUACACAUGCAAGUCGAACGGCAGCACGGAGCUUGCUCUGGUGGCGAGUGGCGAACGGGUGAGUAAUAUAUCGGAACUUACCCAAGAGUGGGGGAUAACGUAGCGAAAGUUACGCUAAUACCGCAUACGAUCUAAGGACGAAAGCCGGGGAUCGCAAGACAUUGUGCUCCUGGAGCGGCCGAUAUCUGAUUAGCUAGUUGGUGAGGUAAAGGCUCACCAAGGCAUCGAUAAGUAGCUGGUCUGAGAGGACGACCAGCCACACUGGAACUGAGACACGGUCCAGACUCAUACGGGAGGCAGCAGUGGGGAAUUUUGGACAAUGGGGGCAACCCUGAUCCAGCAAUGCCGCGUGAGUGAAGAAGGCCUUCGGGUUGUAAAGCUCUUUUGUCAGGGAAGAAACGGUCGUGGCUAAUAUCCAUGGCUAAUGACGGUACCUGAAGAAUAAGCACCGGCUAACUACGUGCCAGCAGCCGCGGUAA
This 500-nucleotide ribosomal RNA is filed under the name uncultured bacterium. RNAcentral's name for it is "partial 16S ribosomal RNA". It matches the Rfam family "Bacterial small subunit ribosomal RNA", at positions 29 to 523 of the family's 1533-position model. The record is from RNAcentral.